AAUAAGACGAGAAGACCCUAUGGAGCUUAAAUUAAUAUUCCAACUUAAACAACUUCAAAUCUAAUCGAUGUAAAAUCUGCAACCACUGGAAUAAACAUUUUGGUUGGGGUGACCUCGGAGCAUAAAAAAACCUCCGAAGGACUAACAUUAAGACCAACUAGUCCAAAUUAUAAAUGUCCAAAUAUUGACCCAGAAAUAAUUCUGAUCAAUGAACCAAGUUACCCUAGGGAUAACAGCGCAAUCUUGUUAAAGAGUUCAUAUCGACAAUAAGGUUUACGACCUCGAUGUUGGAUCAGGACAUCCCAAUGGUGCAGCAGCUAUUAAAGGUUCGUUUGUUCAACGAUUAAAGUCCUACGUGAUCUGAGUUCAGACCGGAGCAAUCCAGGUCGGUUUCUAUCUAUU
Dipodomys ordii (Ord's kangaroo rat) is the source of this 402-nucleotide non-coding RNA. The record is from Rfam. Lineage: Eukaryota; Metazoa; Chordata; Mammalia; Rodentia; Heteromyidae.